CGCUGGCGGCAUGCCUUACACAUGCAAGUCGAACGGCAGCGCGGGGCAACCUGGCGGCGAGUGGCGAACGGGUGAGUAAUAUAUCGGAACGUACCCUGGAGUGGGGGAUAACGUAGCGAAAGUUACGCUAAUACCGCAUACGAUCUAAGGAUGAAAGCAGGGGACCGCAAGGCCUUGUGCUCCUGGAGCGGCCGAUAUCUGAUUAGCUAGUUGGUAGGGUAAAAGCCUACCAAGGCAUCGAUCAGUAGCUGGUCUGAGAGGACGACCAGCCACACUGGAACUGAGACACGGUCCAGACUCCUACGGGAGGCAGCAGUGGGGAAUUUUGGACAAUGGGCGCAAGCCUGAUCCAGCAAUGCCGCGUGAGUGAAGAAGGCCUUCGGGUUGUAAAGCUCUUUUGUCAGGGAAGAAACGGUGAGGGCUAAUAUCCUUUGCUAAUGACGGUACCUGAAGAAUAAGCACCGGCU
Molecule: ribosomal RNA, 467 nt
Filed under: uncultured bacterium
Lineage: Bacteria
Description: bacterial SSU rRNA
Rfam family: Bacterial small subunit ribosomal RNA
Source: RNAcentral